AAGUCGUAACAAGGUUUCCGUAGGUGAACCUGCGGAAGGAUCAUUAACACGUAUCCAAACGUUAAAACCCCCCCCGUGAACCUUCAUCCUGCUCUUGUAACCCGCCCCAUGCCCCCUAAUAACCCCACAGUGUAAUGUGAAGCUCAAUGUAAUACAUUGGGUAAAAAAACCGAACAACUGUUAACAAUGGAUAUCUUGGUUCUC
RNAcentral lists this unclassified non-coding RNA (204 nucleotides) under fungal sp. Its description in RNAcentral is "partial internal transcribed spacer region". The stretch from base 1 to 46 matches the Rfam family "Eukaryotic small subunit ribosomal RNA", at positions 1786 to 1831 of the family's 1831-position model. Lineage: Eukaryota; Fungi. The record is from RNAcentral.